This 291-nucleotide ribosomal RNA is filed under the name uncultured Veillonellaceae bacterium. Its description in RNAcentral is "partial 16S ribosomal RNA". The record is from RNAcentral. Lineage: Bacteria; Bacillati; Bacillota; Negativicutes; Veillonellales; Veillonellaceae.
GGAGUCUGGGCCGUGUCUCAGUUCCAUUGUGACCGUUCAUCCUCUCAGACCGGUUACCGAUCGUCGGCUUGGUAGGCCUUUACCCCACCAACUACCUAAUCGGACGCAGGCUCCUCGCAAAGCGAUAAAUCUUUAAUACAAACCUCAUGCGAAGCUUAUAUAACAUCCGGUAUUAGCGUCCCUUUCGGAACGUUGUCCCCGUCUUUGCGGCAGAUUACCUGCGCUUUACUCACCCGUUCGCCACUAAACCCGAAGGUUCCGUUCGACUUGCAUGUGUUAAGCACGCCGCCA